CUUAAGAGCCUAGGGCUGACUGGCAUUUGGGUAACGAAACAGAAUUGUAACUUACUAAAAUAAAGUUUUAAGUACGUAUUAAUAAUGAUAAUAUGUAUAAAAGUCUUGACCAAUUACGUGCCAGCAGUCGCGGUAAUACGUAGGAGACGAGCAUUAUUCAUAUUAAAUAGGUUUAAAGGGUACCCAAACGGUCAAAAUACCUGAAAUAUAGGAGUACUUGACUAGAGUUAUAUGUAAGAAGACCGUACUUGAGGUGGAGAGAUUAUAUUUUUUUAUGCCACCAGGACGGAUGACCGGGACGAAUGCUGUUUUUUAGGUAAUAACUGACGUUGAAGGACGAACGCUUAGAUAACUUACAGGAUUCGUUACCCUAGUAUUCUUUGCAGACGGUGGGGAGGGGAUUAACUAGAUACUAAUUUUAAUUAAAAAAAUGAAAAUGAAUACUUUUCCCCACCCAUUUUUUGUGCCAACCCAGGAUCGGCCUCACCCAAACGGUUCAGCACCCCCACAGAGAGAGGGGGGUUAUAAAUCCCGACGGACCCGGAAGGA
Molecule: ribosomal RNA, 549 nt
Filed under: Colletotrichum gloeosporioides
Lineage: Eukaryota; Fungi; Ascomycota; Sordariomycetes; Glomerellales; Glomerellaceae
Description: partial small subunit ribosomal RNA
Rfam family: Bacterial small subunit ribosomal RNA
Source: RNAcentral